UUCGAAAGAAACAACUGAUAUUCAGAUAAAAAUUUAGAAAUCGAAAAAUCACAUAAAAAAUAGCGAAAAACGCGAAAUGAAAACUAUGCCGAUGAUCAAAUUGAAGCGAUAAAUAAAAUAAAAUAAUCUCAUAAGUAAAUAAAAAUGCUGAUCAAUUAAUUAAACCUCGAAUUGCAAAUUCAAAGAAUUCACCUCAAAAGUAUCACAAUUUGAGCCAAAAUGCGCAACAAAAAAGCAAAUGCCGACGAUCAAACAUUAACAAAAUGAAAACAUGAAUCAAAAUUGAAGAACAGAUUAAGAGAGAGAAAAUGAUGAUACAUGAGAAGCUGAGAAGCGACUUCAGUGGAGAGCUCUGAGUGCGCUUCAAUGGAGGAGAGAGAAAGGUAUUUGGAUUAAUUUUAAUUUUUAUUUUUUUAAAUUUGGGUUUUUGGCCCUUUAAUUUUUCUUUUUGGCCCUUUAAUUUUUAUUUUUUUUGAUAUUAAUGAGCUGUCAAUAAAAGCCCAUUAUUAACCCUAUAUCUUAAAGCCCUUUAGUGACCCUGUCCACUAAAAUAUUAGGGUCAAAACCCUUUAAAUUUUGGUCCGACCCUAUUAUCAAUGGGCAGCCCUGUCCAUUAACCACCCCUACUCUCUAAUUCAUCUCUUCUGCAUUCAUAAAGAGAAAAAUCUGCUACAAAACAACUCCAUGUUUAGGCUUUGAUUUAUACGAUUUCAGAUUUAUGCCUGAUUUGGGGAAUUUAUCAGUCUACUUAACUAUUGUUGCCAAGUUGUGUGAUUUUGAUUGCUUUAUUUUGUGUUCACUGGAAAUGUUUUGAUGUUUAUUUUCAAAUUUUUUGAGUUAUCAGUUGUUUUCUAUGUAUUGUAGCUAUGAGAAUACGUCUGAUUAGGUUAAUUUGUGUUAAAUUAUAUGUAUUGAUUUACAUGUAUUGUUCAUUUUAUUGUAUAAUUAAGGUUUUAGUAUUUAGGUUAUGAGUUGAUUAUCAAUUAGUGUUAAUUUUUGGGGUUUGGAAAAAGUUGAUGAAGAUGAAGAUUAUUCAAGUGGUUUUCACAUCUUUGCAAAAUUGUGCUUAUUGCCCUUGGUUUUUUAUGAGUAUUUUCUAAACUGGUGUGUGUAGUCAUGUAGGUAAUUGAUAACUGGUGAAAUUUCAGAAAAUAUGCCAAUGCAGAAGAUUUAUCUUGUCUCUUUUUUUCCCCCUCUUCUGAUAAGUGAAAAAUAAAAUCGUUCGUGAGGCCAUCGAGUUUGUAAAAGCCCAUCCUUCUCUAUUUGACCGGGCUUUGCAAGAAAACAUUUUUGAAGUUGAUGACUUGAUGAUGGAGCUUAUUAAUUCUGUUGGCAUAUUAAGUAAGCUUGAUACUACAUUGGUUUAUGAGCAACAUGCUAUGUAGAAUAUGUCUACUUCAGAACAUAGUUAACUGGUUCUGCUCCUAUGUUGUUGUUCUGCUUCUAAGUUGCUACUGUUGCUGCCCCUGCCACUUUGCUGGAGCUGUUGUGUAAAUCCAACAAUUGUAUUUUUUUGUUAUUUUUUUUUUGCAAGUGUAAAAUUACAGUUAUUAAUGAAAAUAUAUGAGGUUUAUGUUUAUUACUUA
Long non-coding RNA from Chenopodium quinoa (quinoa), 1586 nucleotides. RefSeq lists it as uncharacterized. The transcript is spliced from 2 exons. The record is from RefSeq and is a predicted model, not a curated record. Lineage: Eukaryota; Viridiplantae; Streptophyta; Magnoliopsida; Caryophyllales; Amaranthaceae.